This 465-nucleotide ribosomal RNA is filed under the name uncultured bacterium. Its description in RNAcentral is "partial 16S ribosomal RNA". It matches the Rfam family "Bacterial small subunit ribosomal RNA", at positions 28 to 507 of the family's 1533-position model. The record is from RNAcentral.
GACGAACGCUGGCGGCGUGCUUAACACAUGCAAGUCGAACGGAAAGGCCCCUUUGGGGGUCCUCGAGUGGCGAACGGGUGAGUAACACGUGAGUAACCUGCCCUUGACUUCGGGAUAACUUCAGGAAACUGGGGCUAAUACCGGAUAGGAAUCCUUGCUGCAUGGUGGGGGUUGGAAAGCUUCGGGGGUUUUGGCUGGACUCGCGGCGUAUCAGCUGGUUGGUGGGGUAGUGGCUUACCAAGGCUUUGACGGGUAGCCGGCCUGAGAGGGCGACCGGCCACAUUGGGACUGAGAGACGGCCCAGACGCCUACGGGAGGCAGCAGUGGGGAAUAUUGCACAAUGGGCGGAAGCCGGAUGCAGAAACGCCGCGGGCGGGAUGACGGCCUUCGGGUUGUAAACCGCUUUCAGCAGGGGAGAAGCUUGUGGUGACGGUACCUGCAGAAGAAGCACCGGCUAACUACGUG